RNAcentral lists this ribosomal RNA (795 nucleotides) under uncultured bacterium. RNAcentral's name for it is "bacterial SSU rRNA". It matches the Rfam family "Bacterial small subunit ribosomal RNA", at positions 8 to 796 of the family's 1533-position model. The record is from RNAcentral.
AGAGUUUGAUCAUGGCUCAGGAUGAANNNUAGCGGCAGGCUUAAUACAUGCAAGUCGUGGGGCAGCAUGGGGUAGCAAUACUCUGAUGGCGACCGGCAAACGGGUGCGGAACACGUACGCAACCUUCCUUUAACUGGAGAAUAGCCCCUCGAAAGAGGGAUUAAUACUCCGUAACAUGAUGAUAAGGCAUCUUAUUAUUAUUAUAGCUCCGGCGGUUAGAGAUGGGCGUGCGCCUGAUUAGGUAGUUGGCGGGGUAACGGCCCACCAAGCCUGCGAUCAGUAACUGGUGUGAGAGCACGACCAGUCACACGGGCACUGAGACACGGGCCCGACUCCUACGGGAGGCAGCAGUAAGGAAUAUUGGUCAAUGGACGCAAGUCUGAACCAGCCAUGCCGCGUGGAGGAUUAAGGCCCUCUGGGUUGUAAACUCCUUUUAUCUGGGAAGAAAUCCACAUAUUCUUAUGUGGUUGACGGUACCAGAGGAAUAAGCACCGGCUAACUCCGUGCCAGCAGCCGCGGUAAUACGGAGGGUGCAAGCGUUAUCCGGAUUCACUGGGUUUAAAGGGUGCGUAGGCGGGUAAGUAAGUCCGUGGUGAAAUCUCUGAGCUUAACUCAGAAACUGCCGUGGAUACUAUUUGCCUUGAAUAUUGUGGAGGUGAGCGGAAUAUGUCAUGUAGCGGUGAAAUGCUUAGAUAUGACAUAGAACACCAAUUGCGAAGGCAGCUCACUACACAAUCAUUGACGCUGAGGCACGAAAGCGUGGGGAUCAAACAGGAUUAGAUACCCUAGUAGUCC